UACAGGGGGGGCAAGCGUUGUUCGGAAUUACUGGGCGUAAAGGGCUCGUAGGCGGCCGACUAAGUCACACGUGAAAUCCCCAGGCUUAACCUGGGAACUGCGUGUGAUACUGGAUGGCUUGAAUCCGGGAGAGGGAUGCGGAAUUCCAGGUGUAGCGGUGAAAUGCGUAGAUAUCUGGAGGAACACCGGUGGCGAAGGCGGCAUCCUGGACCGGUAUUGACGCUGAUGAGCGAAAGCCAGGGGAGCAAACGGG
RNAcentral lists this ribosomal RNA (253 nucleotides) under uncultured bacterium. RNAcentral describes it as "partial 16S ribosomal RNA". It matches the Rfam family "Bacterial small subunit ribosomal RNA", at positions 524 to 776 of the family's 1533-position model. The record is from RNAcentral.